This 250-nucleotide ribosomal RNA is filed under the name uncultured bacterium. Its description in RNAcentral is "partial 16S ribosomal RNA". It matches the Rfam family "Bacterial small subunit ribosomal RNA", at positions 524 to 773 of the family's 1533-position model. The record is from RNAcentral.
UACGUAGGAUCCGAGCGUUGUCCGGAAUUACUGGGCGUAAAGGGUGCGUAGGCGGCAAUGUGCGUCAGAGGUGAAAUCCACGGGCUUAACUUGUGGGGUGCCUUUGAUACGGCAUAGCUUGAGUACGAGAGAGGUCGAUGGAAUUCCUGGUGUAGCAGUGAAAUGCGUAGAUAUCAGGAGGAACACCGGUGGCGAAGGCGGUCGGCUGGCUCGUAACUGACGCUGAGGCACGAAAGCGUGGGGAUCAAAC